GGCUGAUUAUGUAUCUCGACGUAUCACUUCUAACUGUGUAACGCAAAGCUAAAUUGAACACUAGAGUGUUUUUGCAAUUCCGAUUAUGUAAGACAAAAGACAGCCACAAUGCCUAGUGAUAUCGUUCUAGGCGCAAAAUUUUAUCGACAUUAUGCGACUAAAUAAAAUACACCCUUUCCCGGUACUACUUACUACGGGUGCGGCAUACUUUUGCACAUAUACGCAUUAUACUUGAUUUUGCUGUUUGUCUGUGGUGAAGUGAAGUGCCAUAGUUUCUUUGUUGGUAAACAAAGCCGUAUUAAAAUAUUAAUGAAAAAAUUGGUUUCGUUGGAUCAAAGUACUUGCUACUGCUAGUUUUUUGUUUUCAAUAGAAGUAAUUAAUUAAUCAUUUUAUCGUAUACAUUUUUAUUAGUGUUAAUAGUUAAUUUAUCAAAGUAAACGGCCACUUUUACAUAAAACAUUAUCUACACGAAAGUUCUUCAAAGUUUUAUCGUCUGCCUAUGAUUAAUUUAAUGGUCGUUGUGAUAAUAUGUAAAGUAUAUUGUAUAGUGUUUUGUUUAUUAAAGUUCAUCGCUUGCAACUAAAGAUGUCCGGGAAACUCAAUGAUCGCCUUGGCUUGGAUCAAACUUGGCGAUGGGUUGUUUUGGAGGGCCUUUGGAAAGUCAGGCUACUAAAUAAACCUUCCGUGUUCGCGUCUGCCAGUGGCGUUGUAUCAACAUGAAGAUGUGGGCUCUAAACUUUGAGUGCCAGGGACUGACUAUGGAAGUCUCCAUGUCGCUGGUCACCAUUGAGGUGCAAAACACCUUGAAAAAAUUGGUGAUUCUGAAUCCUUCAUCUAUAUGAACGAUUCAUGAAGAAAGAAUUAAACAAACAUUUAAUGAACAGAUUUUUUAUAAGAUUAUUAUCAAUAUUGCAUAUGAGAGAAAAUUGUCAAAUAUAAUUUCAUUUUAAUUUAAUAUAGUUAAUUAUGACAUCACUGUAUAUAAAGAAUAUGAUUAUUAUCAUUUGGUUAAUUUCAGUAUUACAUAGUAUUAGAUAAAAAUUUUAUUGUAAAAUUGCACAUCAAAAUAUGUUUUAUUAUCUAUUAUUAGGAGGAAAUAUUAUUUAACUAUUAUUAUUAUCCCUAAUAGCCCAGUGAAUGUGACCUCUGCCUCCAAUUCCGGAGGGUGUGGGUUCGAACCCGUUCCGGGGCACGCACCUCCAACUUUUCAGUUGUGUGCAUUUUAAGAAACUAAAUAUCACGUGUCUCAAACAGUGAAGGAAAACAUCGUGAGGAAACCUGCAUACCAGAGAAUUCUCUUAAUUCUCUGCAUAUGUGAUGUCUGCCAAUGUAAUCCAAAUAUGCUGGCCCAUAUUCGGCUCCUGUCAGAAUGAGAAGGGUUAGGCAUUGGCCUUCCCUUACCUUAUCAGCCGAUAGACGUCCACUGCUGGACAUAGGCCUCUUACAUGGACCUCCAUGCACAACGACCUUGAGCCGCGAACAUCCAACCAACCGACCAACCACGCUUUCCAGUGCGGGGUCUCCCGAGUGCGGGUAGGCACUAACCCCUCUUACUGGGGGAGACUCGAGCUCAGCAGUGAGCCGAAUAUGUGUUUAUAAUGAUGAUGAUGAUGAUGAUUAUUUAAGUAAUUGUAAAAGAAAAAAUUGAAUACUACAUUAGUUGUUUAUCUAUACAAUUCAAUAAUUUUAAGAACAAAACAUGUACCUACCACAUUGUAGGAAAUAAAUAAAUAAUGAUUUGAUUAAAAACAAUGUUGUUAAAUGUUAAGCAGGUAGGGCCAGGUAGUUCUAUAUUUGUGUAACAUCUAUUACUUAAAAAUAAAAAAUAUAUUUACUUGUG
Long non-coding RNA from Bicyclus anynana (squinting bush brown), 1841 nucleotides. RefSeq lists it as uncharacterized. The transcript is spliced from 2 exons. The record is from RefSeq and is a predicted model, not a curated record. NCBI's taxonomy places the organism in Eukaryota, Metazoa, Arthropoda, Insecta, Lepidoptera, Nymphalidae.